UACGUAGGGACCGAGCGUUGUCCGGAUUCAUUGGGCGUAAAGAGCUCGUAGGCGGCUGCUCAAGUCGAAUGUGAAAACUCGAGGCUCAACCUCGAGCCUGCAUUCGAUACUGGGCGGCUAGAGUCUGGUAGGGGGAUCUGGAAUUCCUGGUGUAGCGGUGGAAUGCGCAGAUAUCAGGAGGAACACCGGUGGCGAAGGCGGGAUCCUGGGCCAGUACUGACGCUGAGACGCGAAAGCGUGGGGAGCAAACAGG
This 253-nucleotide ribosomal RNA is filed under the name uncultured bacterium. Its description in RNAcentral is "partial 16S ribosomal RNA". It matches the Rfam family "Bacterial small subunit ribosomal RNA", at positions 524 to 776 of the family's 1533-position model. The record is from RNAcentral.